GAUGAACGCUGGCGGCGUGCCUAAUACAUGCAAGUCGAGCGAACAGACGAGGAGCUUGCUCCUCUGACGUUAGCGGCGGACGGGUGAGUAACACGUGGAUAACCUACCUAUAAGACUGGGAUAACUUCGGGAAACCGGAGCUAAUACCGUAUAAUAUAUUGAACCGCAUGGUUCAAUAGUGAAAGACGGUUUUGCGGUCUCUUAUAGAUGGAUCCGCGCCGCAUUAGCUAGUUGUUAAGGUAACGGCUUACCAAGGCAACGAUGCGUAGCCGACCUGUGAGGGUGAUAGGCCACACGGGAACUGAGACACGGUCCAGACUCCUACGGGAGGCAGCAGUAGGGAAUCUUCCGCAAUGGGCGAAAGCAUGACGGAGCAACGCCGCGUGAGUGAUGAAGGUCUUCGGAUCGUAAAAAUCUGUUAUUAGGGAAGAACAAAUGUGUAAGUAACUAUGCACGUCUUGACGGUACCUAAUCAGAAAGCCACGGCUAACUACGUG
Molecule: ribosomal RNA, 497 nt
Filed under: uncultured bacterium
Lineage: Bacteria
Description: partial 16S ribosomal RNA
Rfam family: Bacterial small subunit ribosomal RNA
Source: RNAcentral